This 390-nucleotide ribosomal RNA is filed under the name uncultured bacterium. Its description in RNAcentral is "bacterial SSU rRNA". It matches the Rfam family "Bacterial small subunit ribosomal RNA", at positions 29 to 412 of the family's 1533-position model. The record is from RNAcentral.
AUUGAACGCUGGCGGCAGGCCUAACACAUGCAAGUCGAACGGCAGCACGGCAGUAGCAAUACUGUGGGUGGCGAGUGGCGGACGGGUGAGGAAUACAUCGGGAUCUACCCUGUUGUGGGGGAUAACGUAGGGAAACUUACGCUAAUACCGCAUAAGAACUGAGGUUGAAAGCGGCGGACCGCAAGGCGUCGCGCGAUUGGAUGAACCGAUGUCCGAUUAGCUAGUUGGCGGGGUAAAGGCCCACCAAGGCGACGAUCGGUAGCUGGUCUGAGAGGACGACCAGCCACACUGGAACUGAGACACGGUCCGGACUCCUACGGGAGGCGGCAGUGGGGGAAUAUUGGACAAAUGGGCGCAAGCCUGAUCCAGCCAUGCCGCGUGCGGGAAGAA